CUUGGACACCAGGCACAAGAGCCAACAGAAGUUGAUUUACCAAAAAAAUGAGUUUCCAGAAAAAUUAAGCGUGUCAAGUUGAGACAUGGAAAGUUUAGAGGGCGGGAGACUGGAAGAGCAGGUAAACGCAGAACAAAGGGGAUGAAUAACAAUCAGUGACCACAGGAAGAAAAGCAAGGAGCCGCGGAAGCAUCUACAGGCAGACAAGUCACCAUGCAGAGCAGAGAACAGAAAUCACUCCAGCUACUUCACUCAGAAAGGCAGCACUUGAUGGGAAUUUGGUGUUUACAGAAUCACUACAAGGUCUGGGGGAACAAAAGUCCCCUCUAGACUUUCGAAUUCAAAGAAACACCACUGCAAGGUGUAAUCCCCAUAAAAUUCCCACCACCAAGUCUACU
This is a long non-coding RNA of Talpa occidentalis (Iberian mole), 398 nucleotides long. RefSeq lists it as uncharacterized. The transcript is spliced from 3 exons. The record is from RefSeq and is a predicted model, not a curated record. NCBI's taxonomy places the organism in Eukaryota, Metazoa, Chordata, Mammalia, Eulipotyphla, Talpidae.